Molecule: ribosomal RNA, 1006 nt
Filed under: Klebsiella pneumoniae
Lineage: Bacteria; Pseudomonadati; Pseudomonadota; Gammaproteobacteria; Enterobacterales; Enterobacteriaceae
Description: bacterial SSU rRNA
Rfam family: Bacterial small subunit ribosomal RNA
Source: RNAcentral
AAAUUGAAGAGUUUGAUCAUGGCUCAGAUUGAACGCUGGCGGCAGGCCUAACACAUGCAAGUCGAGCGGUAGCACAGAGAGCUUGCUCUCGGGUGACGAGCGGCGGACGGGUGAGUAAUGUCUGGGAAACUGCCUGAUGGAGGGGGAUAACUACUGGAAACGGUAGCUAAUACCGCAUAAUGUCGCAAGACCAAAGUGGGGGACCUUCGGGCCUCAUGCCAUCAGAUGUGCCCAGAUGGGAUUAGCUAGUAGGUGGGGUAACGGCUCACCUAGGCGACGAUCCCUAGCUGGUCUGAGAGGAUGACCAGCCACACUGGAACUGAGACACGGUCCAGACUCCUACGGGAGGCAGCAGUGGGGAAUAUUGCACAAUGGGCGCAAGCCUGAUGCAGCCAUGCCGCGUGUGUGAAGAAGGCCUUCGGGUUGUAAAGCACUUUCAGCGGGGAGGAAGGCGGUGAGGUUAAUAACCUCAUCGAUUGACGUUACCCGCAGAAGAAGCACCGGCUAACUCCGUGCCAGCAGCCGCGGUAAUACGGAGGGUGCAAGCGUUAAUCGGAAUUACUGGGCGUAAAGCGCACGCAGGCGGUCUGUCAAGUCGGAUGUGAAAUCCCCGGGCUCAACCUGGGAACUGCAUUCGAAACUGGCAGGCUAGAGUCUUGUAGAGGGGGGUAGAAUUCCAGGUGUAGCGGUGAAAUGCGUAGAGAUCUGGAGGAAUACCGGUGGCGAAGGCGGCCCCCUGGACAAAGACUGACGCUCAGGUGCGAAAGCGUGGGGAGCAAACAGGAUUAGAUACCCUGGUAGUCCACGCUGUAAACGAUGUCGAUUUGGAGGUUGUGCCCUUGAGGCGUGGCUUCCGGAGCUAACGCGUUAAAUCGACCGCCUGGGGAGUACGGCCGCAAGGUUAAAACUCAAAUGAAUUGACGGGGGCCCGCACAAGCGGUGGAGCAUGUGGUUUAAUUCGAUGCAACGCGAAGAACCUUACCUGGUCUUGACAUCCACAGAACUU